AUACGGAGGAUCCAAGCGUUAUCCGGAUUUAUUGGGUUUAAAGGGUGCGCAGGCGGAAGAUUAAGUCGGCGGUGAAAUUUUGCAGCUCAACUGUAAAAGUGCCAUCGAUACUGGUUUUCUUGAGUGUGGAUGAAGUAGGCGGAAUUUGUGGUGUAGCGGUGAAAUGCAUAGAUAUCACGAGGAACUCCGAUUGCGCAGGCAGCUUACUAGGCCAUAACUGACGCUCAGGCACGAAGGCGUGGGGAUCAAACAGGAUUAGAUACCCUGGUAGUCCACGCAGUAAACGAUGAUUACUCGCUGUUUGCGAUACACAGUAAGCGGCUUAGCGAAAGCGUUAAGUAAUCCACCUGGGGAGUACGUUCGCAAGAAUGAAACUUAAAGGAAUUGACGGGG
RNAcentral lists this ribosomal RNA (393 nucleotides) under uncultured bacterium. RNAcentral's name for it is "partial 16S ribosomal RNA". It matches the Rfam family "Bacterial small subunit ribosomal RNA", at positions 523 to 918 of the family's 1533-position model. The record is from RNAcentral.